RNAcentral lists this transfer RNA (73 nucleotides) under Cyanobacteria bacterium SZAS-4. RNAcentral's name for it is "tRNA-Arg". It matches the Rfam family "tRNA". From Rfam's summary of the family: Transfer RNA (tRNA) molecules are approximately 80 nucleotides in length. Their secondary structure includes four short double-helical elements and three loops (D, anti-codon, and T loops). The record is from RNAcentral. Lineage: Bacteria; Bacillati; Cyanobacteriota. RNAcentral also lists the same sequence under 1 other name.
CGCCUUGUAGUUCAGUGGACAGAGCAACUCGGUUCUAACGAGAAAGUCCUUGGUUCGAAUCCAAGCAAGGCGG